RNAcentral lists this ribosomal RNA (259 nucleotides) under Listeria monocytogenes. Its description in RNAcentral is "partial 23S ribosomal RNA". It matches the Rfam family "Bacterial large subunit ribosomal RNA", at positions 1644 to 1901 of the family's 2925-position model. Lineage: Bacteria; Bacillati; Bacillota; Bacilli; Caryophanales; Listeriaceae. The record is from RNAcentral.
GUACCGAAUACCGACACUGGUUGAUGAGGAGUGAAUCCUAAGGUGAGCGAGAGAUCUCUCGUUAAGGAACUCGGCAAAAUGACCCCGUAACUUCGGGUGAAGGGGUGCUCUAUUUGGGUGCAAGCCCGAGAGAGCCGCAGUGAAUAGGCCCUGGCGACUGUUUAGCAAAAACACAGGUCUCUGCUAUACCGUAAGGUGACGUAUAGGGGCUGACGCCUGCCCGGUGCUGGAAGGUUAAGAGGAGUGCUUAGCUUCGGCG